RNAcentral lists this ribosomal RNA (258 nucleotides) under uncultured bacterium. RNAcentral describes it as "partial 16S ribosomal RNA". It matches the Rfam family "Bacterial small subunit ribosomal RNA", at positions 524 to 776 of the family's 1533-position model. The record is from RNAcentral.
UACGGAGGGUGCAAGCGUUAUCCGGAUUUACUGGGUUUAAAGGGUGCGUAGGCGGGCCCUUAAGUCAGUGGUGAAAGCUCCGAGCUUAACUCGGAAACUGCCAUUGAUACUAUAGGUCUUGAAUUCGGAUCGAGGUUGGCGGAAUGUGUCGUGUAGCGGUGAAAUGCUUAGAUAUGACACAGAACACCGAUUGCGAAGGCAGCUAGCUAGACCGACAUUGACGCUGAGGCACGAAAAGCGUGGGGGGAUCAAAACAGG